RNAcentral lists this long non-coding RNA (579 nucleotides) under Drosophila guanche. The record is from RNAcentral. Lineage: Eukaryota; Metazoa; Arthropoda; Insecta; Diptera; Drosophilidae.
GAACAUCGAAAUUGUCAACGAACAACAAUCGAAACGACCUCAAAGUGGGCCCUGACCGGCGCGUACGGUUGCCAGAGGGGAGAGAGCUUGAAACAAAAGUAAAUUGCAAUAAAAGUUUUGUAAUUGACAAACGGACAACAAACAAAACUCCACUUCAGUUGCCGCUGUGCUGGACAGCAGGAAGAGCAUCGGGAGGAGAGGUGGAAGCACCAGGAGUAGCAUCAAGAACACCAGAGCUCAGCAUCGAAUCGUUUUUGGGAUGUGGUUAGGCGGCAUGGAGGAGGUAGAGGAUGUUCGUCUGUUUUUGUCCCAAACAACAAAAACCGAUGCUGCCCCCGAAAAACAGGAAGCGGCAACAGCAGCGACAAAAACUGUAGGAGGCCCAGCUCUGGUCCGGGGGAGUUCCCCCUUUAGUCCCAUUCCCCAUUAACUAAACCAGUGGCUGGCCUGGCCUGGCCAGGCCUGGUUGUCUCAUCAUUUCGUACAUUUGCGCCCGCAUAUUGACUUUGAGCGGGGUUAGGGGUGUGUGGGCAGCGCACAAACGAUUCACAGAUUUAAGAAAUAAAAGUUUAGUGCCCC